CCUUUUCCGUUCGGCCGGCCGGACCGGCGCGGACGGGUGAAGUAACACGUAUGCAACCUGCCCUCUUCAGGGGGACAACCUUCCGAAAGGGAGGCUAAUCCCGCGUAUAUCGGUUUCGGGCAUCCGAGAUCGGGGAAAGAUUCAUCGGAAGAGGAUGGGCAUGCGGCGCAUUAGCUAGACGGCGGGGUAACGGCCCACCGUGGCGACGAUGCGUAGGGGUUCUGAGAGGAAGGUCCCCCACACUGGUACUGAGACACGGACCAGACUCCUACGGGAGGCAGCAG
RNAcentral lists this ribosomal RNA (284 nucleotides) under uncultured bacterium. RNAcentral describes it as "partial 16S ribosomal RNA". It matches the Rfam family "Bacterial small subunit ribosomal RNA", at positions 66 to 354 of the family's 1533-position model. The record is from RNAcentral.